RNAcentral lists this non-coding RNA (28 nucleotides) under Mus musculus (house mouse). The record is from RNAcentral. Lineage: Eukaryota; Metazoa; Chordata; Mammalia; Rodentia; Muridae.
AGUAGAUAGCCCAGGCUCUCCUCGCCAC